Molecule: ribosomal RNA, 464 nt
Filed under: uncultured bacterium
Lineage: Bacteria
Description: bacterial SSU rRNA
Rfam family: Bacterial small subunit ribosomal RNA
Source: RNAcentral
AACGAACGCUGGCGGCAUGCCUAACACAUGCAAGUCGAACGGGAUCCUGGUUUCGGCCAGGUGAGAGUGGCGGACGGGUGAGUAACGCGUGGGAACCUGCCCAGUGGUGGGGGAUAACUGCGGGAAACUGCAGCUAAUACCGCAUGAGCCCGAAAGGGGAAAGAUUGAUCGCCAUUGGAGGGGCCCGCGUUCGAUUAGGUAGUUGGUGAGGUAACGGCUCACCAAGCCUUCGANCGAUAGCUGGUCUGAGAGGAUGAUCAGCCACACUGGGACUGAGAUACGGCCCAGACUCCUACGGGAGGCAGCAGUGGGGAAUAUUGGACAAUGGGGGCAACCCUGAUCCAGCAAUGCCGCGUGAGUGAUGAAGGCCCUCGGGUUGUAAAGCUCUUUUGGCGGGGACGAAUGAUGACGGUACCCCGCAAGAAUAACGCCCCGGCUAACUUCGUGCCAGCAGCCGCCGUAAC